RNAcentral lists this ribosomal RNA (254 nucleotides) under uncultured bacterium. RNAcentral describes it as "partial 16S ribosomal RNA". It matches the Rfam family "Bacterial small subunit ribosomal RNA", at positions 524 to 776 of the family's 1533-position model. The record is from RNAcentral.
UACGAAGGGGGGCUAGCGUUGCUCGGAAUUACUGGGCGUAAAGGGCGCGUAGGCGGAUAUCUAAGUUGGGGGUGAAAUCCCGGGGCUCAACCUCGGAAUUGCCUUCAAAACUGGAUAUCUUGAGUUCGGGAGAGGUGAGUGGAACUCCGAGUGUAGAGGUGAAAUUCGUAGAUAUUCGGAAGAACACCAGUGGCGAAGGCGACUCACUGGCCCGAUACUGACGCUGAGGCGCGAAAGCGUGGGGAGCAAAUAGG